This 305-nucleotide ribosomal RNA is filed under the name uncultured bacterium. Its description in RNAcentral is "bacterial SSU rRNA". It matches the Rfam family "Bacterial small subunit ribosomal RNA", at positions 338 to 640 of the family's 1533-position model. The record is from RNAcentral.
CCUACGGGAGGCAGCAGUGAGGAAUAUUGGUCAAUGGGCGAGAGCCUGAACCAGCCAAGUCGCGUGAAGGAUGACGGCCCUACGGGUUGUAAACUUCUUUUGUCAGGGAGCAAUUGGGUCCACGCGUGGGCUUAGCGAGAGUACCUGAAGAAAAAGCAUCGGCUAACUCCGUGCCAGCAGCCGCGGUAAUACGGAGGAUGCGAGCGUUAUCCGGAUUUAUUGGGUUUAAAGGGUGCGUAGGCGGAAUAUCAAGUCAGCGGUAAAAAUUCGGGGCUCAACCCCGUCGUGCCGUUGAAACUGAUGUU